UCUUGUAGCCCACAAGAUCCAGUAGGCCUAAUAAGCACCAGGCAGAAACCCACCAUUCCAGAGUGGACAUGUACAGUGUCAGAAGAAGAGCCAGGAGCCAGCAGUGAGGGUAUUGCUCCUGUUGGGAUAGAAGGUGAGCCAACUCAUGUGCAAACAAGCAAACAUUAGUUAAUUUUAAUGUCCAAAUAAUAGUAGUGACCUGUUGUAUUUUUAUUAGUAAAUGCACAAAGCCCACAACAGAUAGUUAUUAGAAUGAAAGUAAAAUGAAAUAAGCCUGCAUAUUUUGCCAUAGAAAAUAUUUUAAUUGGUUACAAAAAAUGUGUUUUCCAUAUCAAAUGUGCUAAAGCUUUACAGAUGAUUAUUUUAAUUGUGUGCAGGUGAGUAUAGGGAAACUGGAAAAAGUGUGAAAGGGAGUGCUGAGUCAUUUCAUUUUAAAGGUUUGAAAAUCUCAGAACAGCUGUUUGAACAGAAGGUAGAUUGUUAUAUUGUUAGAGAAUGUGUUGUAAAGAACAAUGUUGGAGAUGUGCACUGAUGUUCAAAUAAACCUACAUUGUAAAGCAA
Nothobranchius furzeri (turquoise killifish) is the source of this 561-nucleotide long non-coding RNA. RefSeq lists it as uncharacterized. Lineage: Eukaryota; Metazoa; Chordata; Actinopteri; Cyprinodontiformes; Nothobranchiidae. The record is from RefSeq and is a predicted model, not a curated record.